Molecule: ribosomal RNA, 718 nt
Filed under: uncultured bacterium
Lineage: Bacteria
Description: bacterial SSU rRNA
Rfam family: Bacterial small subunit ribosomal RNA
Source: RNAcentral
AGAGUUUGAUCCUGGCUCAGGACGAACGCUGGCGGCGUGCCUAACACAUGCAAGUCGAACGGGAUCCAUGCCAUGAAGUUUUCGGAUGGAUUGGUGUGGUGAGAGUGGCGAACGGGCGAGUAACGCGUGAGCAACCUACCUCGUACUGGGGGAUAACGUCGGGAAACCGGCGCUAAUACCGCAUAAGACUACGAUGUCGCAUGGCGUUGUAGUCAAAGCUCCGGCGGUACGAGACGGGCUCGCGUCCGAUUAGCUAGUUGGUAGGGUAACGGCCUACCAAGGCGACGAUCGGUAGCCGGACUGAGAGGUCGGCCGGCCGCAUUGGGACUGAGACACGGCCCAGACUCCUACGGGAGGCAGCAGUGGGGAAUAUUGCGCAAUGGGGGAAACCCUGACGCAGCGACGCCGCGUGAAGGAAGAAGGCCUUCGGGUUGUAAACUUCUUUGGCAGGGGACGAAGAAAGACGGUACCCUGAGAACAAGCCACGGCUAACUACGUGCCAGCAGCCGCGGUAAUACGUAGGUGGCGAGCGUUGUCCGGAAUUACUGGGCGUAAAGGGCGUGUAGGCGGGGGGACAAGUCAGAUGUGAAAUACCGCAGCUUAACUGCGGGGCUGCAUCUGAAACUGUUCUUCUUGAGUGUCGGAGAGGAAAGUGGAAUUCCCAGUGUAGCGGUGAAAUGCGUAGAGAUUGGGAGGAACACCAGUGGCGAAGGCGGCU